GGUUUAACGUGUUAUGGUCACCAUCUGGAAUGAUAUGGAUAGGCAUUAUGACUUUAGUUAGGGCACACUCCCCCCACCAUUGCCCAAUUAAUUGGGACCUCAAUUGUUUAUCCCCACAUAACCAAUAGAUAUCGCCGAUUGUCUUUGUGUGGUUCAUUAGCAGUGAUACGGGUGGAUUAUGGUAAGUUGAGCAAUAUCCUGAUGGGAAUUUACCCAGAUACAAACCGGUGUUUUUAGAUAUUGUAUAACAUGUGUAAUUACCUGGGUAGAUGGUGACUCCAUCAGGUGGUUUUACAUGUCCGUG
Molecule: non-coding RNA, 304 nt
Organism: Pelobates cultripes (western spadefoot toad)
Lineage: Eukaryota; Metazoa; Chordata; Amphibia; Anura; Pelobatidae
Source: the annotation of a GenBank genome assembly